This 1348-nucleotide long non-coding RNA is filed under the name Capsella rubella. RNAcentral's name for it is "long non-coding RNA (CRUB_LNC004028)". The record is from RNAcentral. Lineage: Eukaryota; Viridiplantae; Streptophyta; Magnoliopsida; Brassicales; Brassicaceae.
UCUAGGUUACUUAGAGGAACAAAUAUGAAAAAAAAAAAAAAAAAAAAAAAAACAUGUAAGGCUAAUGUGUUGUGGACAUCUCAAACAUUGUCUUUACAAAACCGAUGCGUGAAGUGAAUGAUGCUCUCGUUAUGGUUUGUGAAUCUCUCAUGUCUCAACAAACAUUACAUUUCCUAAUACUAUGUUGUAAAUUAAUCAAAACUUUAUUGUUUUAUGCGUAGUGAUACACUAAAUUUGUGAUGAUAUCUAUAUUUUAUGAUGCUAUUGUUUUAAAGAAUAAUAUCAAUGCACGUUUAGUAUGUCCGAUCCCAUAUAUUUUUAUUACGUCUCACACAAAAAUACGUUUUGAGAUGAUGAUACAUGUGGUGAGAAAUUAAGUAACAAAAUUAAGUAGGAGCAAAAUAAUCAUUUGCUCUUUAAUUAGUUAAUUAGUAACCUUAGACAUAUCUUCGUUUUGCAUGUCUUCUCACAUUCUUGAUAGCAUUUUUCAUACUCCCUCUCAUCGUCUGUUGUCAUGGCAAAUUUCCAAAAGCAAAUAAAAACACUUUCGUUAUAUACAUAUUAUUCAGUUUUCGUGUUUGAAAAUAAAUUUUUUCAUUCAUAACCACAGCUUGUAAUAUCAAGUGCAUAGUUUAACACAAAAACAUAUAUAUGAGCCAGACGUUUAAAACGUUCAACUAAUAAGAAGAAAAAAAUCAUUAACAAAGUAGUAAGCUAGUUUAUUUACAUAGAUCAAUCCAUAAAUAAUACGUAUCCAACUUACUUGAGUUAUUUUCAAGGUGAAGGCACUGAUGAAUAGUACAACCAACAACGCAAUUUACUUGUUUAUGUGUUAGCUAGCUUUGAAGAAGGUGAAGGUGCAGGAGAAUCAGAAUCUGGUGAAGGGACUUUGAAUAAACAUCAACAUCUUGUGAAGGUGCAGGAGAAUCUGAAUCUUGUGAAGGAGAAGGAGACUUUGAAGAAGAAUCUGAAUCGAAAUAGCUAUCAUAUUGUGAAGGAGAUGGAGAAGGAGAAUGAUGAUGACCACAUUUUUCAGGAAACUCACAGAAGGAAAUAGCUAUCAUCUUUGCCUGAACCAAAACGUUCUCCAUUCCCAUUAGUACUAUCAUUACCAUACUUAACAUUAGCUACACUCUUUGUGUUCAUCAUUUUUUUUUUUUUUAAUCUUUCUCAAUGACUUAUUUUUUAGUAAUCGUACAAGAAGAUUGUUGUGUGUGGAUUGUGAAUUUUGAUGUUUGAUUGCUUAAUCAUUGUGUGCUUUAUAUAGGAAAAUGUGUGUGAUUUCGUAUAGUAGGUGUUCAUAAUGAUUAUUAUAUCCCAUAUAUCAAUGUUUAUUAUAUCCCAUAUA